AACGAACGCUGGCGGCAGGCCUAACACAUGCAAGUCGAGCGAGCAUUUCGGUGCUAGCGGCGGACGGGUGAGUAACGCGUGGGAACGUGCCCUUUUCUGCGGAAUAGUCCUGGGAAACUGGGGGUAAUACCGCAUACGCCCUUUUGGGGAAAGAUUUAUCGGAGAAGGAUCGGCCCGCGUUGGAUUAGGUAGUUGGUGGGGUAAUGGCCCACCAAGCCGACGAUCCAUAGCUGGUUUGAGAGGAUGAUCAGCCACACUGGGACUGAGACACGGCCCAGACUCCUACGGGAGGCAGCAGUGGGGAAUCUUAGACAAUGGGGGCAACCCUGAUCUAGCCAUGCCGCGUGAGUGAUGAAGGCCUUAGGGUUGUAAAGCUCUUUCAGCUGGGAAGAUAAUGACGUUACCAGCAGAAGAAGCCCCGGCUAACUCCGUG
RNAcentral lists this ribosomal RNA (433 nucleotides) under uncultured bacterium. RNAcentral describes it as "partial 16S ribosomal RNA". It matches the Rfam family "Bacterial small subunit ribosomal RNA", at positions 29 to 507 of the family's 1533-position model. The record is from RNAcentral.